AUGCGGACUCCCCGGUUCCUGCGCACCGGCCACACCCGCCUAAGGGCUGCUCGCUACGUCUUGUUGGCC
Molecule: small RNA, 69 nt
Filed under: Xanthomonas axonopodis pv. vasculorum
Lineage: Bacteria; Pseudomonadati; Pseudomonadota; Gammaproteobacteria; Lysobacterales; Lysobacteraceae
Description: sX9
Rfam family: Xanthomonas sRNA sX9
Source: RNAcentral